AGUGAACGCUGGCGGUAGGCCUAACACAUGCAAGCCGAACGGCAGCACAGUAAGAGCUUGCUCUUACGGGUGGCGAGUGGCGGACGGGUGAGGAAUACAUCGGAAUCUACUUUUUCGCGGGGGAUAACGUAGGGAAACUUACGCUAAUACCGCAUACGACCUACGGGUGAAAGCAGGGGAUCUUCGGACCUUGCGCGAUUGAAUGAGCCGAUGUCGGAUUAGCUAGUUGGCGGGGUAAAGGCCCACCAAGGCGACGAUCCGUAGCUGGUCUGAGAGGAUGAUCAGCCACACUGGAACUGAGACACGGUCCAGACUCCUACGGGAGGCAGCAGUGGGGAAUAUUGGACAAUGGGCGCAAGCCUGAUCCAGCCAUACCGCGUGGGUGAAGAAGGCCUUCGGGUUGUAAAGCCCUUUUGUUGGGAAAGAAAAGCAGCAGGUUAAUACCCCGCUGUUCUGACGGUACCCAAAGAAUAAGCACCGGCUAACUUCGUG
RNAcentral lists this ribosomal RNA (492 nucleotides) under uncultured bacterium. RNAcentral's name for it is "partial 16S ribosomal RNA". It matches the Rfam family "Bacterial small subunit ribosomal RNA", at positions 29 to 507 of the family's 1533-position model. The record is from RNAcentral.